CGUGAUUGCAGGUGGUAACACGAGUCGUUUCAAAUUAUCGAGUAAACCAACCCCGUAAAUGAUGAGAGAUGCCGAAAACUGAGAGCCAUACGCAUCCUGGCGAGAACCAGUCAAAAUUUCGAAAGUUUCAAGACCUGUGUGGAUACUCCUCCAAUUUGGCGAGAUGUUCAGCACUCUGGAAUUCCUCUUCUCCAGCGUGCUUUAAACGGCUCGGGGUCAAAGCGAGGACUCCUGCUCCGGUGAAAGCCUGUUCGCAAACUUUUGUCCGGAUAUGAAGCACCAGUCUGCGUAUUCUUUGCAUAUGGAGCCAAAUAAGUCGCAAGUCUUCGUCAAAGAUUCUGAGGUGUCGGGCGGUUGGACAAGAGGGCAGUUGAUCAUAGUCGUCAAAACUGUUAGCGACAGGAUUUGGCGUGGUGAUUGAUGGUUUUGUCAAGUGGGGGCUUUGCGUCGUUGUUGUGAUAUCUUCUAUUGUGGUUGGACCAUCUUUUGCGUCUGUAACCUCAUUCCCAUUGUUUUGGUUCUGUUAAUAACAUGAAAAGGAGAAAUAAACUUGGCUUUUCCGGAUUUUGGAAUCCUGUUUACGAUGAGACGGGGACAAGUUGGAUAUUGCAAGAUUUCAGAAUUAAGCCUGAAGGGAUUUCAUUUCGCCGCAACAAAGCCAAGAACCUAAAACCUCACUGGCUUCAACCGCAGCCCAGCACGACAUAUGUAUGAAUGAAGAAAAUGAGUGAGUGGGGAUUUACAUGAGACGACAAAACAUGGUCCAAACCUUAUAAUUAAGUUUGAAGGGAGACAACAAAGGAAGACAACAAAAUUAAGUGCCAUCAUAUUUAUGUAAAGAAAUAACCUACCAAAUUAUGCUCCUGGCUGUGAUGACUCUUCUGACUCGAACUGCUCGCCGUC
Molecule: long non-coding RNA, 903 nt
Organism: Folsomia candida
Lineage: Eukaryota; Metazoa; Arthropoda; Collembola; Entomobryomorpha; Isotomidae
Exons: 5
Source: RefSeq, a predicted model, not a curated record